Non-coding RNA from Paramuricea clavata, 656 nucleotides. NCBI's taxonomy places the organism in Eukaryota, Metazoa, Cnidaria, Anthozoa, Malacalcyonacea, Plexauridae. The record is from the annotation of a GenBank genome assembly.
AGCUGUGAAAAUCAUGAAAGGCAAAGACAAGACCAAGUUUAAAGUGAGGUGCAGUCGUUAUUUAUACACCCUGGUUAUCAAGGAUAAAGAAAAGGCUGACAAACUGAAGCAAUCUUUACCUCCUGGUAAAUAUGAGUUUGUGAUCUGUUCAUUUAUUAACCCAUUGAGUGGCAGCACUUUCCACUUGACGAGUAAAAUCAUCUGGCAGUAGGCAGGUUUGAUUUGCUGCGCCGUUUCGUGAGAAAUGGAAAUUCCACUGCUUGUGUCGUACCACGAACCCGCGCGUCUGAGUUGGAACCUGGGGCCAUAUAUUUUCUAAGGGCUGUAGAGUUUAUUAUUUUGAAUUUUUUCACAGUUGCCAUGAGGGCAAAUAUCCCUACGCAGUUAACAAAAUUAGCAGACUGGUGUCAGUGGUGUGUUCUAAUGCACCCUACUUUCUUUAUAUUACUCUGUUUAACGUCGGUCUACUCAUCAAGGAAAUACAAGCUUUGCUUUGACUAUAAAAUUUGGGAUUUGUUUUAUUUAAAUUUUUUCCCAAUUGUUGGCUGGAGAUGGAUUUUUGUUCUAAUUUGGUGUUUUAUCUUUUAGGACUGGACGUUAAAGAGUUGAAGAACUGAAUGUAUAAAUGAUAAGUUGAAAUAAAUUUUCAAAAUGUU